This is an RNA transcript of Vicia villosa (hairy vetch), 1718 nucleotides long. It is a transcript of the gene named protein trichome birefringence-like 6, with no coding region annotated. The record is from RefSeq and is a predicted model, not a curated record. Lineage: Eukaryota; Viridiplantae; Streptophyta; Magnoliopsida; Fabales; Fabaceae. The transcript is spliced from 6 exons.
UCUUCUAAACCCUAAGGAUAGUUCUCAGUCAAGAACCCCUCAUUUGACAAUUCAUAUUUCUUGUUCCAAACCCUAAAUUCAACUUCACCUCCUCAUCACCAAAUCAAACCCUAAAAUUAAAGGUCCUCACUCACAAGCACACCAUGAAUCUUCAUCUCUUCUCAUCUCUGGGUCGCAACUUAGUUGAAGAUUUUGGAUUUUGGGUUUUUCACUCUCUUCCUCACUAAAUCCACCACAACAACACCUUCACCACAAAACACUCUUGUAGCAAAUCUUCUACCGUUAACAGUCCACUGUUUCACUAAAAACAUCUUCACUCGUGCAAAUAUCUCUACUCUAAUCGAUAACCGUCUUUCCAGAAGCGUCAACAAAUCCAAAUCUAAAGCUAUAGAAGACGAUAUUGUUGGUUCGAGUUUUGGUUUUGGUGAAAUGCGUGGUAAUGGAACGAUGGUUGGAGUGGUGGGUUUAGUGGGUAGAAGUAAAGUUUCGGUUUUUGAGAAAGGUGAAGUGAAGAAGAAGAAGAAGAAGAAGAUGGUGAAAGGGUGUGAUUUGAGUAAAGGGUAUUGGGUUUUUGAUGAAAGGUAUACUCUUUAUGGUGGAGCUUCUUAUCCUUUUGUUGAUGAAGGUUUUGAUUGUGAGGGGAAUGGAAGAUUGGAUAGAAAUUUUACUAAGUGGAGAUGGCAACCUCAAUAUUGUGACCUUCCAAGUGUUGCGUCGGUUCAUACAAGGUAAAGGACUAGCUUCAAUUGGCCCCCCUACAUUGUUCUUCUGGAUUAGUCGGUCUUAAAGAGAGACUUUUUACUAUUAGGAGUAACAUAUGUGAAGUUAGUAGCAAAGGUGAAGUUAAUUUUAUUCUUUAAGUACUAUUUUUUUGUGUUAUAGAUUCAAUGCAACAAAAAUGUUGGAGUUGAUAAGAGGGAAAAAACUAGUUUUUGUGGGUGAUUAAAUUAAUAGGAACCAAUGGGAAUCAAUGUUGUGCAUGUUAUUGAGUGAUGUUAAAGAUCUACAGAGAGUGUUUGAGGCACGUGGAAGGAAAAUUACCAAAGAGAAAGGGAACUAUAGUUUCAGGUUUCUGGAUUAUCAAUGUACAAUUGAGUACUAUGUAAGUCAUUUUAGUUCAUGAAAGCAAGGUGAGAGUAGGGCAGAAAUGAAGAACGACGCUACGAAUUGAUGUCAUUGAUCACGGUUCGUCCAGAUGGAGAGGAGCUGAUAUUUUGGGUUUCAACAUAAUGGUAUCAUUACAAAACCAAAGCUGGGUUAGUACCUCUCUUAAAUUUCCCAAUUGAAGCCUUGUGCAGCGCUACCUCUCUCUCCUUGCCUUCCUGCAAAUCACAUUUACCUAGCAGGAGGUCUUCAUGAGGGUGCUAAAGUGAUUAAGAAGCAUGCCGCACAACUCUAUACUCUAGUCGAAGAUUGUGACCAACCCGAUUAUGUCAAAUUGGUGAAAGCCCUUUGUGCAGAACAUAAUGUUAGUUUGCUGACAGUUCCAAGUGCAUUGACACUUGGAAAAUGGGAUGGUGAACCUUUUAAUCUUCAAAGGGGUUGGCUUUUGUGAGCUGGAGUUGGACUUGUUGGUGCUCUAGUUUCAAUUGGAUUCACAAGAGUUAAUGUGUCCUUUAGUUGAGAAACCCCACAAAGAGAGGCUCACUCACUAUUGGGUCUGACUUGGGAUAACUUUGUGCUGGUGCAUAUAUUCGGAAACUCAAAUUUAAACGGCG